Molecule: ribosomal RNA, 484 nt
Filed under: uncultured bacterium
Lineage: Bacteria
Description: partial 16S ribosomal RNA
Rfam family: Bacterial small subunit ribosomal RNA
Source: RNAcentral
AUUGAACGCUGGCGGCAGGCCUAACACAUGCAAGUCGAGCGGAUGAAGGGAGCUUGCUCCUGGAUUCAGCGGCGGACGGGUGAGUAAUGCCUAGGAAUCUGCCUGGCAGUGGGGGAUAACGUCCGGAAACGGGCGCUAAUACCGCAUACGUCCUGAGGGAGAAAGUGGGGGAUCUUCGGACCUCACGCUAUCAGAUGAGCCUAGGUCGGAUUAGCUAGUUGGUGGGGUAAAGGCCUACCAAGGCGACGAUCCGUAACUGGUCUGAGAGGAUGAUCAGUCACACUGGAACUGAGACACGGUCCAGACUCCUACGGGAGGCAGCAGUGGGGAAUAUUGGGCAAUGGGCGAAAGCCUGAUCCAGCCAUGCCGCGUGUGUGAAGAAGGUCUUCGGAUUGUAAAGCACUUUAAGUUGGGAGGAAGGGCAGUAAGUUAAUACCUUGCUGUUUUGACGUUACCAACAGAAAAAGCACCGGCUAACUACGUG